Molecule: ribosomal RNA, 252 nt
Filed under: uncultured bacterium
Lineage: Bacteria
Description: partial 16S ribosomal RNA
Rfam family: Bacterial small subunit ribosomal RNA
Source: RNAcentral
GUCCACGCCUAACGAUGUCAACUAGGUGUUGGUGGUAAACCAUUAGUACCGGAGCUAACGCGUGAAGUUGACCGCCUGGGAGUACGGCCGCAAGGUUAACUCAAGGAAUUGACGGGACCCGCACAAGCGGUGGAUGAUGUGGAUUAAUUCGAUGCAACGCGAAACCUUACCUACCCUUGACAUGUCCAGGAGCCUGAAGAGAUUUGGGUGUGCCCGAAAGGGACUGGAACACAGGUGCUGCAUGGCUGUCGU